GAAGCUGACCAGACAGUCGCCGCUUCGUCGUCGUCCUUUCGGGGAGACGGGCGGAGGGGAGGAAAGUCCGGGCUCCAUAGGGCAGGGUGCCAGGUAACGCCUGGGGGGGAAACCCACGACCAGUGCAACAGAGAGCAAACCGCCGAUGGCCCACGUAAGUGGGAUCAGGUAAGGGUGAAAGGGUGCGGUAAGAGCGCACCGCGCGGCUGGUAACAGUCCGUGGCACGGUAAACUCCACCCGGAGCAAGGCCAAAUAGGGGUUCAUAAGGUACGGCCCGUACUGAACCCGGGUAGGCUGCUUGAGCCAGUGAGCGAUUGCUGGCCUAGAUGAAUGACUGUCCACGAAAGAAAGCGGCUUAUCGGUCAGUUUCACCU
This 375-nucleotide RNase P RNA is filed under the name Salmonella enterica subsp. enterica. RNAcentral describes it as "RNase P RNA component class A". It matches the Rfam family "Bacterial RNase P class A". Rfam says of the family: Ribonuclease P (RNase P) is a ubiquitous endoribonuclease, found in archaea, bacteria and eukarya as well as chloroplasts and mitochondria. Its best characterised activity is the generation of mature 5'-ends of tRNAs by cleaving the 5'-leader elements of precursor-tRNAs. Lineage: Bacteria; Pseudomonadati; Pseudomonadota; Gammaproteobacteria; Enterobacterales; Enterobacteriaceae. RNAcentral also lists the same sequence under 4 other names. The record is from RNAcentral.